AUUGAACGCUAGCGGGAUGCUUUAAACAUGCAAGUCGAACGAGUGGCGGACGGGUGAGUAAUAUAUCGGAACGUGCCCAGUAGCGGGGGAUAACUCCUCGAAAGAGUUGCUAAUACCGCCUACUAUUGGAUCGGCCCCUAGCGGCUUAGCUAGUGGGUGGGUGAAAGGCUCACCAAGGCAACGAUCCGUAGCUGGUUUGAGAGGACGACCAGCAACACUGGGACUGAGACACGGCCCAGACUCCUACGGGAGGCAGCAGUGGGGAAUAUUGGACAAUGGGGGAAAGCCUGAGCCAGCCAUCCCGCGUGUAUGAGAAGGCCUUCGGGUUGUAAAGUACUUUUGUCAGAGAAGCGGUAUCUGCAGAAUAAGCACCGGCUAACUACGUGCCAGCAGCCGCGGUAAUUC
Molecule: ribosomal RNA, 405 nt
Filed under: uncultured bacterium
Lineage: Bacteria
Description: partial 16S ribosomal RNA
Rfam family: Bacterial small subunit ribosomal RNA
Source: RNAcentral